GACGAACGCUGGCGGCGUGCUUAACACAUGCAAGUCGAACGGAAAGGCCCUGCUUUUGUGGGGUGCUCGAGUGGCGAACGGGUGAGUAACACGUGAGUAACCUGCCCUUGACUUUGGGAUAACUUCAGGAAACUGGGGCUAAUACCGGAUAGGAGCUCCUGCUGCAUGGUGGGGGUUGGAAAGUUUCGGCGGUGGGGGAUGGACUCGCGGCUUAUCAGCUUGUUGGUGGGGUAGUGGCUUACCAAGGCUUUGACGGGUAGCCGGCCUGAGAGGGUGACCGGCCACAUUGGGACUGAGAUACGGCACAGACUCCUACGGGAGGCAGCAGUGGGGAAUAUUGCACAAUGGGCGGACGCCUGAUGCAGCAACGCCGCGUGCGGGAUGACGGCCUUCGGGUUGUAAACCGCUUUCGCCUGUGACGAAGCGUGAGUGACGGUAAUGGGUAAAGAAGCACCGGCUAACUACGUG
RNAcentral lists this ribosomal RNA (468 nucleotides) under uncultured bacterium. Its description in RNAcentral is "partial 16S ribosomal RNA". It matches the Rfam family "Bacterial small subunit ribosomal RNA", at positions 28 to 507 of the family's 1533-position model. The record is from RNAcentral.